This 24-nucleotide non-coding RNA is filed under the name Rattus norvegicus (Norway rat). The record is from RNAcentral. Lineage: Eukaryota; Metazoa; Chordata; Mammalia; Rodentia; Muridae.
UCUAAAGUUCAUCAGACCUGCCCU